Molecule: ribosomal RNA, 584 nt
Filed under: Chaetomium globosum
Lineage: Eukaryota; Fungi; Ascomycota; Sordariomycetes; Sordariales; Chaetomiaceae
Description: LSU rRNA
Rfam family: Eukaryotic large subunit ribosomal RNA
Source: RNAcentral
GCAUAUCAAUAAGCGGAGGAAAAGAAACCAACAGGGAUUGCCCUAGUAACGGCGAGUGAAGCGGCAACAGCUCAAAUUUGAAAUCUGGCUUCGGCCCGAGUUGUAAUUUGCAAAGGAAGCUUUAGGCGCGGCACCUUCUGAGUCCCCUGGAACGGGGCGCCAUAGAGGGUGAGAGCCCCGUAUAGUUGGAUGCCUAGCCUGUGUAAAGCUCCUUCGACGAGUCGAGUAGUUUGGGAAUGCUGCUCAAAAUGGGAGGUAAAUUUCUUCUAAAGCUAAAUACCGGCCAGAGACCGAUAGCGCACAAGUAGAGUGAUCGAAAGAUGAAAAGCACUUUGAAAAGAGGGUUAAAUAGCACGUGAAAUUGUUGAAAGGGAAGCGCUUGUGACCAGACUUGCGCCGGGCGGAUCAUCCGGUGUUCUCACCGGUGCACUCCGCCCGGCUCAGGCCAGCAUCGGUUCUCGCGGGGGGAUAAAGGUCCUGGGAACGUAGCUCCUCCGGGAGUGUUAUAGCCCGGGGCGUAAUGCCCUCGCGGGGACCGAGGUUCGCGCAUCUGCAAGGAUGCUGGCGUAAUGGUCAUCAGCGAC